This 489-nucleotide ribosomal RNA is filed under the name Enterococcus mundtii. RNAcentral's name for it is "bacterial SSU rRNA". It matches the Rfam family "Bacterial small subunit ribosomal RNA", at positions 56 to 516 of the family's 1533-position model. The record is from RNAcentral. Lineage: Bacteria; Bacillati; Bacillota; Bacilli; Lactobacillales; Enterococcaceae.
UGCAAGUCGAACGCUUCUUUUCCCACCGGAGCUUGCUCCACCGGGAAAAGAGGAGUGGCGAACGGGUGAGUAACACGUGGGUAACCUGCCCAUCAGAAGGGGAUAACACUUGGAAACAGGUGCUAAUACCGUAUAACAAUCGAAACCGCAUGGUUUCGUUUUGAAAGGCGCUUUACGGUGCCGCUGAUGGAUGGACCCGCGGUGCAUUAGCUAGUUGGUGAGGUAACGGCUCACCAAGGCCACGAUGCAUAGCCGACCUGAGAGGGUGAUCGGCCACAUUGGGACUGAGACACGGCCCAAACUCCUACGGGAGGCAGCAGUAGGGAAUCUUCGGCAAUGGACGAAAGUCUGACCGAGCAACGCCGCGUGAGUGAAGAAGGUUUUCGGAUCGUAAAACUCUGUUGUUAGAGAAGAACAAGGGUGAGAGUAACUGUUCACCCCUUGACGGUAUCUAACCAGAAAGCCACGGCUAACUACGUGCCAGCAGCC